Molecule: ribosomal RNA, 115 nt
Filed under: Olea europaea subsp. europaea
Lineage: Eukaryota; Viridiplantae; Streptophyta; Magnoliopsida; Lamiales; Oleaceae
Description: Eukaryotic large subunit ribosomal RNA
Rfam family: Eukaryotic large subunit ribosomal RNA
Source: Rfam by way of RNAcentral
GUCUGCACACCAUGCCCAGAAAUGCCUGAAAAUGAGACUGCGUCCUGCCAAGUGUUGGAUUGUUCACCCACCAAUAGGGAACGUGAGUUGGGUUUAGACCGUCGUGAGACAGGUU